GAGACCCCUGCCUCUAGUUGCUACCUUUAUUCUCAGGAGUAAUGGAGCUAAUUAGAGGGACUGCCGUCGCUGAGACGGAGGAAGGAGGGGGCUACGGCAGGUCAGUAUGCCCCGAAACCCUCGGGCCACACGCGGGCUGCAAUGGUAAGGACAAUGAGUUUCAAUUCCGAAAGGAGGAGGCAAUCUCUAAACCUUACCACAGUUAUGAUUGAGGGCUGAAACCCGCCCUCAUGAAUAUGGAAUCCCUAGUAACCGCGUGUCACUAUCGCGCGGUGAAUAC
Molecule: ribosomal RNA, 280 nt
Filed under: uncultured methanogenic archaeon
Lineage: Archaea; Methanobacteriati; Methanobacteriota
Description: partial 16S rRNA
Rfam family: Archaeal small subunit ribosomal RNA
Source: RNAcentral